GCAAAGUCUUCCUCGCGGGUUAUUUCAAUAUCAGUCUGCAGGAAAGGAGGCAAAUGCUUCUGGGACUGAGGUGAGUUCCAGUCCCGCCUUAGGCAUGAAAGCUGGAUGACUUUGGGCCAAUCACCAGGAGACGUUGAGUUCUACUCCCGCCUUAGACAUGAAAGCCAACUGGGUGACUUUGAGCCAAUCACCAGGCCUUCAGAACCUCAACCCCAGCUAAAAAAAAAAGGACUUUGUUGUGUCUCCAACCGGGCGUUUUAUCAGACUCAGAGUCCGAUAAUGAAGAUGAACGGCCUGUCAUGACUCCAGCCCCCAGCCCUGGCCCCAUGCCUGGAGAGGAUUCAAGGAGUGAAAGGAGAAGCCCAAUAAACCUCACUCAUACAACGUGUGUUCCUUUGGCUCAGCCUUCAGAGCAGGAAGCCAGCCAGGGGGUGUAAUUACCCGGGCCUACUCCCUCUGACCCCUCCAUUUCCCAGACGCUGACAGCAGAUCCAGCUGAAGACAAUUCAGCAUGGGAGGACCCUCGCUUCCAGAGAUCUGAGAGGCGACGCCAGCAGAAGGGAGGGUGGGGCAGGCCUGGAUAAAUGCUGAGUCAUGGAGCCACACCCCACAGCCCAUAUAAAGGACCUGCUUUUGGCAUUCGAGUCAAGCAAAGUCUUAGCUAGUUUGCUGAUAUUGGACCCUAUCGCUGAAGUCACAACUUGGACUCCUGCCUGCCCUGAUAAACCUCGAAGGAACUUGGCAAGCUGCAGAGGCUUCAUUGCCAAGUUUGUAAUGGACUUCCUUGACUCGUUCGUCGGAGUGGGGGUGGGACAAGACAGACUUUUUCU
Molecule: long non-coding RNA, 830 nt
Organism: Ahaetulla prasina
Lineage: Eukaryota; Metazoa; Chordata; Lepidosauria; Squamata; Colubridae
Exons: 3
Source: RefSeq, a predicted model, not a curated record